GACGAAGGGGGCUAGCGUUGUUCGGAAUUACUGGGCGUAAAGCGCGUGUAGGCGGUUGCCCAAGUCGGGUGUGAAAGCCUUGAGCUCAACUCAAGAAAUGCACUCGGUACUGGGUGACUAGAGGACCGGAGAGGAUAGUGGAAUUCCCAGUGUAGCAGUGAAAUGCGUAGAUAUGUGGAGGAACACCGAUGGCGAAGGCAGCCCCCUGGGUUAACACUGACGCUCAUGCACGAAAGCGUGGGGAGCAAACAGG
This 253-nucleotide ribosomal RNA is filed under the name uncultured bacterium. RNAcentral describes it as "partial 16S ribosomal RNA". It matches the Rfam family "Bacterial small subunit ribosomal RNA", at positions 524 to 776 of the family's 1533-position model. The record is from RNAcentral.